This 329-nucleotide unclassified non-coding RNA is filed under the name uncultured fungus. RNAcentral's name for it is "sequence contains ITS2". The stretch from base 1 to 52 matches the Rfam family "5.8S ribosomal RNA", at positions 103 to 154 of the family's 154-position model. The record is from RNAcentral. Lineage: Eukaryota; Fungi.
AACGCAUCUUGCGCUCCUUGGAAUUCCGAGGAGCAUGCCUGUUUGAGUGUCAUUAAACCUUCAAACCUCGCGACAGCGAGGGCUUGGAUUGUGGAGUGUGCUGGGAAAAAUAUGGGGGAGGCCCUUGCUUUGGGUCCUCUUCUUCCAGCUCCUCUAAAAUGUAUUAGCAAAAAAAAACCUUGCCUCCAACUGCUCGUAAAGUGCUUUUGGCUUGAUAAUCUAUGUCAACUGCUUGAGCUGGUGUAAGGCCCUUUUCUGCUCACAAAAACACUUUUUUUUAAUAAUAAUCAUUUGACCUCAAAUCAGGUAGGACUACCCGCUGAACUUAA